This 754-nucleotide ribosomal RNA is filed under the name uncultured Bulleidia sp. RNAcentral describes it as "bacterial SSU rRNA". It matches the Rfam family "Bacterial small subunit ribosomal RNA", at positions 28 to 776 of the family's 1533-position model. Lineage: Bacteria; Bacillati; Bacillota; Erysipelotrichia; Erysipelotrichales; Erysipelotrichaceae. The record is from RNAcentral.
GAUGAACGCUGGCGGCGUGCCUAAUACAUGCAAGUCGAACGCUGGAGAUCUAGCUUGCUAGAUCGAAGGAGUGGCGAACGGGUGAGUAAUACAUAAGCAACUUACCCACGAAGACUGGGAUAAUCUCUGGAAACGGGGACUAAUACCGGAUAGGUAAUCGGAAGGCAUCUUCUGAUUAUUAAAGGCUAAAAACACUGGUGGAUGGGCUUAUGGCGCAUUAGUUAGUUGGUGAGGUAACGGCCCACCAAGACGAUGAUGCGUAGCCGGCCUGAGAGGGUGAACGGCCACAUUGGGACUGAGACACGGCCCAGACUCCUACGGGAGGCAGCAGUAGGGAAUUUUCGGCAAUGGGGGAAACCCUGACCGAGCAACGCCGCGUGAGUGAUGACGGCCUUCGGGUUGUAAAGCUCUGUUGUAAGGGAAGAACGGUAGAUAGAGAAUAUCUAAGUGACGGUACCUUACCAGAAAGCCACGGCUAACUACGUGCCAGCAGCCGCGGUAAUACGUAGGUGGCGAGCGUUAUCCGGAAUUAUUGGGCGUAAAGGGUGCGUAGGCGGCCUGUUAAGUAAGUGGUUAAAUUGUUGGGCUCAACCCAAUCCAGCCACUUAAACUGGCAGGCUAGAGUAUUGGAGAGGCAAGUGGAAUUCCAUGUGUAGCGGUAAAAUGCGUAGAUAUAUGGAGGAACACCAGUGGCGAAGGCGGCUUGCUAGCCAAAGACUGACGCUCAUGCACGAAAGCGUGGGGAGCAAAUAGG